UGGGGAAUAUUGCACAAUGGGCGGAAGCCUGAUGCAGCAACGCCGCGUGAGGGAUGACGGCCUUCGGGUUGUAAACCUCUUUUAGCAGGGAAGCGGUACCUGCAGAAAAAGCGCCGGCUAACUACGUGCCAGCAGCCGCGGUAAUACGUAGGGCGCAAGCGUUAUCCGGAAUUAUUGGGCGUAAAGAGCUCGUAGGCGGUUUGUCGCGUCUGCUGUGAAUCUGGGGGCUCAACCCCCAGCCUGCAGUGGGUACGGGCAGACUAGAGUGCGGUAGGGGAGAUUGGAAUUCCUGGUGUAGCGGUGGAAUGCGCAGAUAUCAGGAGGAACACCGAUGGCGAAGGCAGAUCUCUGGGCCGAACUGACGCUGAGGAGCGAAAGGGUGGGAGCAAACAGGAUUAGAUACCCGAGUAGU
Molecule: ribosomal RNA, 412 nt
Filed under: uncultured bacterium
Lineage: Bacteria
Description: bacterial SSU rRNA
Rfam family: Bacterial small subunit ribosomal RNA
Source: RNAcentral